GGCUCAAGUAACACGUGGCCAAACUACCCUUCGGAACACAAUACCCUCGGGAAACUGAGGCUAAUAGUGUAUAUCGUACCACCACUGGAAUGAGUGGUACGCCAAACGCUCCGGCGCCGAAGGAUGUGGCUGCGGCCGAUUAGGUAGACGGUGGGGUAACGGCCCACCGUGCCAAUAAUCGGUAUGGGUCAUGAGAGUGAGAACCCAGAGACGGAAUCUGAGACAAGAUUCCGGGCCCUACGGGGCGCAGCAGGCGCGAAACCUUUACACUGCACGACAGUGCGAUAGGGGGAUCCCAAGUGCACAGGCAUAGCGCCUGUGCUUUUCGGCACCCUAAGGCGGUGCCAGAAUAAGGGCUGGGCAAGACCGGUGCCAGCCGCCGCGGUAAUACCGGCAGCCCAAGUGAUGGCCGAUCUUAUUGGGCCUAAAGCGUCCGUAGCUGGCCGCGCAAGUCCAUCGGGAAAUCCACCUGCUCAACAGGUGGGCGCCCGGUAGAAACUGCGUGGCUUGGGACCGGAAGGCGCGACGGGUACGUCCGGGGUAGGAGUGAAAUCCCGUAAUCCUGGACGGACCGCCGAUGGCGAAAGCACGUCGCGAGAACGGAUCCGACAGUGAGGGACGAAAGCCAGGGUCUCGAACCGGAUUAGAUACCCGGGUAGUCCUGGCCGUAAACAAUGUCUGCUAGGUGUGGCUCCCACUACGAGUGGGUGCUGUGCCGUAGGGAAGCCGCUAAGCAGACCGCCUGGGAAGUACGUCCGCAAGGAUGAAACUUAAAGGAAUUGGCGGGGGAGCACUACAACCGGAGGAGCCUGCGGUUUAAUUGGACUCAACGCCGGACAUCUCACCAGCAUCGACUGUAAUAAUGACGAUCAGGUUGAUGACCUUAUCCGAGUUUCAGAGAGGAGGUGCAUGGCCGCCGUCAGCUCGUACCGUGAGGCGUCCUGUUAAGUCAGGCAACGAGCGAGACCCGCACCCUUACUUGCCAGCAGUACCGCGAGGUAGCUGGGGACAGUAGGGGGACCGCCGUGGCUAACACGGAGGAAGGAACGGGCAACGGUAGGUCAGUAUGCCCCGAAUGUGCUGGGCAACACGCGGGCUACAAUGGUCGAGACAAAGGGUUCCUACUCCGAAAGGAGACGGUAAUCUCAGAAACUCGAUCGUAGUUCGGAUUGUGGGCUGCAACUCGCCCACAUGAAGCUGGAUUCGGUAGUAAUCGCGUGUCACAAGCGCGCGGUGAAUACGUCCCUGCUCCUUGCUACCA
This 1261-nucleotide ribosomal RNA is filed under the name Halorubrum sp. Ez526. RNAcentral describes it as "bacterial SSU rRNA". It matches the Rfam family "Archaeal small subunit ribosomal RNA", at positions 83 to 1346 of the family's 1478-position model. The record is from RNAcentral. Lineage: Archaea; Methanobacteriati; Methanobacteriota; Halobacteria; Halobacteriales; Haloferacaceae.